UGUGGGUUGUGAGGACUUUUCUGCUGUGUUUAACUGCGGAGCCUGAUUCAGUUUACCAUGUACUGGUACUGGUGUACUUGGACUGGUUUUAUUACACUUUGAGGAUAAACAAGCAAAGAAGUUGAACCUGGAGCAGAUUGGGGAAGACUUAUUAGUGCACAAUGCUAACAGUAUGACAUCCAGACAAAUUUCUUUCAGUCUAGCCCGCCAUAAAUAAAAUGAGCGUCCAAACUGGGAGAGGAAAGAAGAAAUACAAGAAGCACGACUCUAACAUUUUGCUGAUCAACCAGAAGAAAGUUACAUGUUCUGUCAAAGAGUCUGACAGUAUGCUUUUGUUUUUGUUCUGAUUAAACACACAAAAUAUAACAUUUUAAGCUUUAUAGAUGCUGGUUGGCAAAUUGAAUUACCUUUGGACGGAGCCAUGCCAUUCUAGUCGAGUUCACCGCGACUGAAUGUAGCUUUAUUUAUCAUAGUGCUAUCCUCUUAUUUUAGUGUGUUUCUUAAAAUGUAGA
This is a long non-coding RNA of Eleginops maclovinus (Patagonian blennie), 512 nucleotides long. RefSeq lists it as uncharacterized. The transcript has 3 exons. NCBI's taxonomy places the organism in Eukaryota, Metazoa, Chordata, Actinopteri, Perciformes, Eleginopidae. The record is from RefSeq and is a predicted model, not a curated record.